AUCAUUUCUUGGCCUUUUAGCUAAGAUCAAGUGUAGUAUCUGUUCUUGCCAGUUUAAUAUCUGAUACAUCCUCUAUCUGAGAACAAUAUAUUAAAUGGAUUUUUGGAACAGGGAGGUGGAAUAGGAGCUUGCUCCAUCCACUGGUAUUGACCACUGGCAUCAGACCUGGUAUUGCAGUAACUCCAGGAAUGGAGAACAAAAA
Molecule: small nuclear RNA, 202 nt
Filed under: Castor canadensis (American beaver)
Lineage: Eukaryota; Metazoa; Chordata; Mammalia; Rodentia; Castoridae
Description: U2 spliceosomal RNA (ENSCCNG00000016067.1)
Rfam family: U2 spliceosomal RNA
About the family: U2 is a small nuclear RNA (snRNA) component of the spliceosome (involved in pre-mRNA splicing). Complementary binding between U2 snRNA (in an area lying towards the 5' end but 3' to hairpin I) and the branchpoint sequence (BPS) of the intron results the bulging out of an unpaired adenosine, on the BPS, which initiates a nucleophilic attack at the intronic 5' splice site, thus starting the first of two transesterification reactions that mediate splicing.
Source: RNAcentral